This 253-nucleotide ribosomal RNA is filed under the name uncultured bacterium. Its description in RNAcentral is "partial 16S ribosomal RNA". It matches the Rfam family "Bacterial small subunit ribosomal RNA", at positions 524 to 776 of the family's 1533-position model. The record is from RNAcentral.
UACGGAAGGGGCAAGCGUUGUUCGGAAUCAUUGGGCGUAAAGAGCGCGCAGGCGGUCGUGUAAGUCGAACGUGAAAGCCCCCGGCUUAACUGGGGAGGGUCGUUCGAUACUGCUCGACUUGAAGGCAGGAGAGGGAAGUGGAAUUCCCGGUGUAGUGGUGAAAUGCGUAGAUAUCGGGAGGAACACCAGUGGCGAAGGCGACUUUCUGGCCUGUUCUUGACGCUGAGGCGCGAAAGCUAGGGGAGCAAACGGG